This 260-nucleotide ribosomal RNA is filed under the name uncultured bacterium. RNAcentral describes it as "partial 16S ribosomal RNA". It matches the Rfam family "Bacterial small subunit ribosomal RNA", at positions 793 to 1055 of the family's 1533-position model. The record is from RNAcentral.
GUCCACGCCUAACGAUGAGAACUAGAUGUCGGGAGGGUUUGCCUUCCGGUGUCGCAGCUAACGCGUUAAGUUCUCCGCCUGGGAAGUACGGCCGCAAGGUUGAAACUCAAAGGAAUUGACGGGACCCGCACAAGCGGUGGAGCAUGUGGUUUAAUUCGAUGCAACGCGAAGAACCUUACCUGGUCUUGACAUCCCAGGAAUCCUGCAGAGAUGCGGGAGUGCCUUCGGGAACCUGGAGACAGGUGCUGCAUGGCUGUCGU